RNAcentral lists this long non-coding RNA (1167 nucleotides) under Oryctolagus cuniculus (rabbit). RNAcentral's name for it is "lncRNA (ENSOCUG00000035003.1)". Lineage: Eukaryota; Metazoa; Chordata; Mammalia; Lagomorpha; Leporidae. The record is from RNAcentral.
AUGAGGGAAAGCAUCCCUGUGCCGGGCAGGACACAGCUGGGCGCAGGCGGGAGCCCCCAGGCUGGAGCGUCUGCCCUGGAAGGCUGGAGGUGGGCAGAAAGAUGGAAGCAUGAAACCUCCUGUGUCCGCGCCGGUCAGAGUCUGGAGGCAGCAGGGGCACGGGCCUCGGGGAGGAACAGAACUGCAGGGCAAGGGCCGGCACUGCAGAAGAAAGCGGGUGGAGGGUCCAGAGAAGGCUUCCGUGGCUCCUUAUUCCUCACCCGUGAGACCCCAGGUGCUAAAGGGAAUGGGAGGCUGCCCCUCCAGUCCAGGGCGGUUUCUUGGCACAGGUGGUUGAGGACCAGGAGCUCAGGAGCCGCUAGGAGGCAGGUGCAGAAGCCAAGGCAGCCUGCGCUGGGAGAGGCCCAGUGGGGCAGCCCCUGCGCCUCCCUCUGUCUUGCUCCCUGGUCAGUGGAGCUCCGUCCCCGCCUCCAGCCACCAUACCCAGGGCUUCAGGUACGGGAGAGCGCGGAGGUGGCCCGGUGUCUCCCCUCACAGGGCCUGCUCGCCCCCAGGAAGGGGGUCCCUCCCGCAAGGUCUCUCGGAGCACUGAGCGCGUGCUCAGGGCUGUCCCCAACCCCAGUUCUCCAGACAGCACCCAACGGCUCGCUCCUCGUGCUGCGGGGAGGGAAAACUGGGUCAGCCUCCCUCCUGCCGUCGGUGCAGGAGGUGCUUUCGAGGCGCCAGGAGCUCUUGGGGGCUGCCCUGCCGGUGGGUGGCUCGCCCUCGGCCUUCUCUGUGGCGGAGGACCAUGUCUCCGGAGGACCCCGCGGGCGGGGAGGGAGACGUCGCGGUUUGCCAAGGUGUGUGUUCCCCGGUGAUUCCGAGGCCCGGCGGCUCGUCGCACCGGCUGCACUUGCCAGACCCCAUGGCGGCGCGCGCCCCCCUGGCUCCACUCGCAGGGGACCCCGGUCUCGGGCGGGAAACCGGGUGGCGGGGCCAUUUUGGGAAGCAAAGAGAAGCUGCGAGGCGCCGGGCGAGCGAACCCAAAGCCUCAGAGCCAGGAGGGGGGCCGGCUCCGCGGGCCAGGGCGGGACCCAGGGAAUGCGCGCCUGCUCGUCCAGUGAGUCGGGGCGCGCUUCCUGGAGGAGGAGGAGAGCUCUCGGCCCGAGCCCACGGGAUGAAUGA